AUGUUACUCUUCCUCUCUGUUUUCAUAGCUCUUACUGAUGUUGCAGAGGCUGUAGAUGAGCUCAUUAAACCAGACCAAACCAUCAUACCUUCACGUGAAGGCAGCAGCACCACACUGACCUGCACAUAUGAUGACUCGGCUUACUAUCUCCACUGGUAUCGACAAAACCCUCAAUCAGGACCAGAGUUUCUGCUGAUGAUUCAUAAAUCCACAGAACGUGUCACUAAAGCUGAACACCUUGACCCAAGACUAUCCACCAGACUCCGUAUAAAGGAAAAGAAAGUAGAUCUGGAGAUCUUUCCUGCUGCAGUAUCAGACUCUGCACUGUACUACUGCGCCAUGGAGCCCACAGUAACACAAAACUCAAACACACUGUACAAAAAGUGA
Non-coding RNA from Pangasianodon hypophthalmus (striped catfish), 387 nucleotides. The record is from the annotation of a RefSeq genome assembly. NCBI's taxonomy places the organism in Eukaryota, Metazoa, Chordata, Actinopteri, Siluriformes, Pangasiidae.